AGAGUUUGAUCAUGGCUCAGAUUGAACGCUGGCGGCAGGCCUAACACAUGCAAGUCGAGCGGUAGCACAGAGAGCUUGCUCUCGGGUGACGAGCGGCGGACGGGUGAGUAAUGUCUGGGAAACUGCCUGAUGGAGGGGGAUAACUACUGGAAACGGUAGCUAAUACCGCAUAACGUCGCAAGACCAAAGUGGGGGACCUUCGGGCCUCAUGCCAUCAGAUGUGCCCAGAUGGGAUUAGCUAGUAGGUGGGGUAACGGCUCACCUAGGCGACGAUCCCUAGCUGGUCUGAGAGGAUGACCAGCCACACUGGAACUGAGACACGGUCCAGACUCCUACGGGAGGCAGCAGUGGGGAAUAUUGCACAAUGGGCGCAAGCCUGAUGCAGCCAUGCCGCGUGUGUGAAGAAGGCCUUCGGGUUGUAAAGCACUUUCAGCGGGGAGGAAGGCGUUAAGGUUAAUAACCUUGGCGAUUGACGUCACCCGCAGAAGAAGCACCGGCUAACUCCGUGCCAGCAGCCGCGGUAAUACGGAGGGUGCAAGCGUUAAUCGGAAUUACUGGGCGUAAAGCGCACGCAGGCGGUCUGUCAAGUCGGAUGUGAAAUCCCCGGGCUCAACCUGGGAACUGCAUUCGAAACUGGCAGGCUAGAGUCUUGUAGAGGGGGGUAGAAUUCCAGGUGUAGCGGUGAAAUGCGUAGAGAUCUGGAGGAAUACCGGUGGCGAAGGCGGCCCCCUGGACAAAGACUGACGCUCAGGUGCGAAAGCGUGGGGAGCAAACAGGAUUAGAUACCCUGGUAGUCCACGCCGUAAACGAUGUCGAUUUGGAGGUUGUGCCCUUGAGGCGUGGCUUCCGGAGCUAACGCGUUAAAUCGACCGCCUGGGGAGUACGGCCGCAAGGUUAAAACUCAAAUGAAUUGACGGGGGCCCGCACAAGCGGUGGAGCAUGUGGUUUAAUUCGAUGCAACGCGAAGAACCUUACCUGGUCUUGACAUCCACAGAACUUUCCAGAGAUGGAUUGGUGCCUUCGGGAACUGUGAGACAGGUGCUGCAUGGCUGUCGUCAGCUCGUGUUGUGAAAUGUUGGGUUAAGUCCCGCAACGAGCGCAACCCUUAUCCUUUGUUGCCAGCGGUUAGGCCGGGAACUCAAAGGAGACUGCCAGUGAUAAACUGGAGGAAGGUGGGGAUGACGUCAAGUCAUCAUGGCCCUUACGACCAGGGCUACACACGUGCUACAAUGGCAUAUACAAAGAGAAGCGACCUCGCGAGAGCAAGCGGACCUCAUAAAGUAUGUCGUAGUCCGGAUUGGAGUCUGCAACUCGACUCCAUGAAGUCGGAAUCGCUAGUAAUCGUAGAUCAGAAUGCUACGGUGAAUACGUUCCCGGGCCUUGUACACACCGCCCGUCACACCAUGGGAGUGGGUUGCAAAAGAAGUAGGUAGCUUAACCUUCGGGAGGGCGCUUACCACUUUGUGAUUCAUGACUGGGGUGAAGUCGUAACAAGGUAACCGUAGGGGAACCUGCGGUUGGAUCACCU
RNAcentral lists this ribosomal RNA (1528 nucleotides) under Klebsiella pneumoniae BWH 2. RNAcentral's name for it is "bacterial SSU rRNA". It matches the Rfam family "Bacterial small subunit ribosomal RNA". The record is from RNAcentral. Lineage: Bacteria; Pseudomonadati; Pseudomonadota; Gammaproteobacteria; Enterobacterales; Enterobacteriaceae.